RNAcentral lists this ribosomal RNA (527 nucleotides) under uncultured endophytic bacterium. RNAcentral describes it as "partial 16S ribosomal RNA". The record is from RNAcentral.
AUUACCGCGGCUGCUGGCACGGAGUUAGCCGGUGCUUCUUCUGCGGGUAACGUCAAUCGAUGCGGUUAUUAACCGCAUCGCCUUCCUCCCCGCUGAAAGUACUUUACAACCCGAAGGCCUUCUUCAUACACGCGGCAUGGCUGCAUCAGGCUUGCGCCCAUUGUGCAAUAUUCCCCACUGCUGCCUCCCGUAGGAGUCUGGACCGUGUCUCAGUUCCAGUGUGGCUGGUCAUCCUCUCAGACCAGCUAGGGAUCGUCGCCUAGGUGGGCCAUUACCCCACCUACUAGCUAAUCCCAUCUGGGCACAUCUGAUGGCAAGAGGCCCGAAGGUCCCCCUCUUUGGUCUUGCGACGUUAUGCGGUAUUAGCUACCGUUUCCAGUAGUUAUCCCCCUCCAUCAGGCAGUUUCCCAGACAUUACUCACCCGUCCGCCACUCGUCAGCGAAGCAGCAAGCUGCUUUCUGUUACCGUUCGACUUGCAUGUGUUAGGCCUGCCGCCAGCGUUCAAUCUGAGCCAGGAUCAAACUCU